UGACAGGUCCUGGUAUGAGGUUCCCCUCCC
Molecule: non-coding RNA, 30 nt
Filed under: Homo sapiens (human)
Lineage: Eukaryota; Metazoa; Chordata; Mammalia; Primates; Hominidae
Source: RNAcentral